UACGUAGGGGGCAAGCGUUGUCCGGAAUUAUUGGGCGUAAAGAGCGUGUAGGCGGUCCGGUAAGUCAGCUGUGAAAGUCAAGGGCUCAACCCUUGAAUGCCGGUUGAUACUGUCGGGCUAGAGUCCGGAAGAGGCGAGUGGAAUUCCUGGUGUAGCGGUGGAAUGCGCAGAUAUCAGGAGGAACACCGAUGGCGAAGGCAGCUCGCUGGGACGGUACUGACGCUAAGGCGCGAAAGCGUGGGGAGCGAACAGG
This 253-nucleotide ribosomal RNA is filed under the name uncultured bacterium. RNAcentral describes it as "partial 16S ribosomal RNA". It matches the Rfam family "Bacterial small subunit ribosomal RNA", at positions 524 to 776 of the family's 1533-position model. The record is from RNAcentral.